AGCAGCCGCGGUAAUUCCAGCUCCAAUAGCGUAUAUUAAAGUUGUUGCAGUUAAAAAGCUCGUAGUUGAAUUUCGGGAUCAAUAUGUUGGUCGUGCCUCGGUACGUACUAGCAUAUUGGUUUCUCCUUUCUGAAGAACCAUGAUGUCAUUUAUUUGGUGUCGUGGGGAAUCAGGACUGUUACUUUGAAAAAUUAGAGUGUUUAAAGCAGGCUCACGCUUGAAUACAUUAGCAUGGAAUAAUGAAAUAGGACGUUUGAUUCUAUUUUGUUGGUUUCUAGGAUCGACGUAAUGAUUAAUAGGGAUAGUUGGGGGCAUUAGUAUUCAAUUGUCAGAGGUGAAAUUCUUGGAUUUAUUGAAGACUAACUACUGCGAAAGCAUUUGCCAAGGAUGUUUU
Molecule: ribosomal RNA, 394 nt
Filed under: uncultured Glomeromycotina
Lineage: Eukaryota; Fungi; Glomeromycota
Description: SSU rRNA
Rfam family: Eukaryotic small subunit ribosomal RNA
Source: RNAcentral